Nomia melanderi (Alkali bee) is the source of this 631-nucleotide non-coding RNA. The record is from RefSeq and is a predicted model, not a curated record. NCBI's taxonomy places the organism in Eukaryota, Metazoa, Arthropoda, Insecta, Hymenoptera, Halictidae.
CGUAUCGAAGAAAUUUUGAUUCAUAUUUGUUGUUCUUAAAGGAAUGAUAUCGUUCGUUUUGGUGCAUUGCACAAUAAACAUAUAAAGUUAUAAAUGGUUUAUAUGUAAUAUUAUAAUAACUAUAAUAUUAUUGUGCUUACUUUAAAGUGCAUUUAAAAUCUGUAUACGAUUAUUUUUAGAUACAACCAUGGCACUAAGACCUGCUGUACGAAAUAGUUUAGUUAUUGGAGGUAUAGUGGCAAUGAUCGGAACACAUUUUUAUAUGAAUAUAUUCCAACCCGUGAUGAAUCCAGAAAUGUAUAAUCAGAUGCGAGAACAGACACAAGCAUAUUAUGAAGGUAGGAGGAAGACAUAAACAUAGUUAGAAAAAGAUUUUUGCUGCAAGAAGUUUCUUAUUUGUGACUAGAAACUUUCCUACAAGCAUAGAAUUUUAUGAACAUAAUAUACAGUCCAUUUUAAAAGUCAUCAUGAUCACAAACAUCGAGGAAGACGUCAAAUGCCUCACGAUUACAGUUUCCAUCAGUAGUGAAAACAUAUUUAUGAAAUGUUCCAUCCAUACAAAUCGCUGUAAUAUAAUAUAAAAUAUGUAUAAAGAAUAACUAAUAUAUUUAAACAUGUUACAUUACUAUAA